CGUGGGUAACCUACCUAUAAGGACUGGGAGUAAACUUCGGGGAAACCGGAGCUAAUACCGGAUAAUAUUUCGAACCGCAUGGUUCGAUAGUGAAAGGUGGUUUUGCUAUCACUUAUAGAUGGACCCGCGCCGUAUUAGCUAGUUGGUAAGGUAACGGCUUACCAAGGCGACGAUACGUAGCCGACCUGAGAGGGUGAUCGGCCACACUGGAACUGAGACACGGUCCAGACUCCUACGGGAGGCAGCAGGG
This 250-nucleotide ribosomal RNA is filed under the name uncultured Staphylococcus sp. RNAcentral describes it as "partial 16S ribosomal RNA". It matches the Rfam family "Bacterial small subunit ribosomal RNA", at positions 116 to 354 of the family's 1533-position model. Lineage: Bacteria; Bacillati; Bacillota; Bacilli; Caryophanales; Staphylococcaceae. The record is from RNAcentral.